CGCGCGAUACAGGGUGACAGCCCCGUACACAAAAGCGCAUGUGCUGUGAGCUCGAUGAGUAGGGCGGGACACGUGGUAUCCUGUCUGAAUAUGGGGGGACCAUCCUCCAAGGCUAAAUACUCCUGACUGACCGAUAGUGAACCAGUACCGUGAGGGAAAGGCGAAAAGAACCCCGGCGAGGGGAGUGAAAAAGAACCUGAAACCGUGUACGUACAAGCAGUGGGAGCCCCACCACUAAGCCAGUGGUGAACUCCACAUACGCAUCCUUUGCUGAGGAUAAGGUUAACGGAGCGAAAGCGACGUUCAACCGCAAAAGAAGCAGAGGGGGCUUAGUGGUGGGGUGACUGCGUACCUUUUGUAUAAUGGGUCAGCGACUUAUAUUCUGUAGCAAGGUUAACCGUAUAGGGGAGCCGCAGGGAAACCGAGUCUUAACCGGGCGUUAAGUUGCAGGGUAUAGACCCGAAACCCGGUGAUCUAGCCAUGGGCAGGUUGAAGGUUGGGUAACACUAACUGGAGGACCGAACCGACUAAUGUUGAAAAAUUAGCGGAUGACCUGUGGCUGGGGGUGAAAGGCCAAUCAAACCGGGAGAUAGCUGGUUCUCCCCGAAAGCUAUUUAGGUAGCGCCUCGUGAAUUCAUCUCCGGGGGUAGAGCACUGUUUCGGCUAGGGGGCCAUCCCGGCUUACCAACCCGAUGCAAACUGCGAAUACCGGAGAAUGUUAUCACGGGAGACA
Molecule: ribosomal RNA, 733 nt
Filed under: Salmonella enterica subsp. enterica serovar Paratyphi B
Lineage: Bacteria; Pseudomonadati; Pseudomonadota; Gammaproteobacteria; Enterobacterales; Enterobacteriaceae
Description: bacterial LSU rRNA
Rfam family: Bacterial large subunit ribosomal RNA
Source: RNAcentral